UACGAAGGGGGCUAGCGUUGCUCGGAAUCACUGGGCGUAAAGCGCACGUAGGCGGGUCGUUAAGGCGGGGGUGAAAUCCUGGAGCUCAACUCCAGAACUGCCUUCGAUACUGGCGACCUUGAGUCCGGGAGAGGUGAGUGGAACUCCGAGUGUAGAGGUGAAAUUCGUAGAUAUUCGGAAGAACACCAGUGGCGAAGGCGGCUCACUGGCCCGGUACUGACGCUGAGGUGCGAAAGCGUGGGGAGCAAACAGG
Molecule: ribosomal RNA, 253 nt
Filed under: uncultured bacterium
Lineage: Bacteria
Description: partial 16S ribosomal RNA
Rfam family: Bacterial small subunit ribosomal RNA
Source: RNAcentral